RNAcentral lists this ribosomal RNA (1552 nucleotides) under Citrobacter amalonaticus. Its description in RNAcentral is "bacterial SSU rRNA". It matches the Rfam family "Bacterial small subunit ribosomal RNA". The record is from RNAcentral. Lineage: Bacteria; Pseudomonadati; Pseudomonadota; Gammaproteobacteria; Enterobacterales; Enterobacteriaceae.
AAAUUGAAGAGUUUGAUCAUGGCUCAGAUUGAACGCUGGCGGCAGGCCUAACACAUGCAAGUCGAACGGUAACAGGAAGCAGCUUGCUGCUUCGCUGACGAGUGGCGGACGGGUGAGUAAUGUCUGGGAAACUGCCCGAUGGAGGGGGAUAACUACUGGAAACGGUAGCUAAUACCGCAUAACGUCGCAAGACCAAAGAGGGGGACCUUCGGGCCUCUUGCCAUCAGAUGUGCCCAGAUGGGAUUAGCUUGUUGGUGAGGUAACGGCUCACCAAGGCGACGAUCCCUAGCUGGUCUGAGAGGAUGACCAGCCACACUGGAACUGAGACACGGUCCAGACUCCUACGGGAGGCAGCAGUGGGGAAUAUUGCACAAUGGGCGCAAGCCUGAUGCAGCCAUGCCGCGUGUAUGAAGAAGGCCUUCGGGUUGUAAAGUACUUUCAGCGGGGAGGAAGGGGUUAAGGUUAAUAACCUUAGCCAUUGACGUUACCCGCAGAAGAAGCACCGGCUAACUCCGUGCCAGCAGCCGCGGUAAUACGGAGGGUGCAAGCGUUAAUCGGAAUUACUGGGCGUAAAGCGCACGCAGGCGGUCUGUCAAGUCGGAUGUGAAAUCCCCGGGCUCAACCUGGGAACUGCAUUCGAAACUGGCAGGCUUGAGUCUCGUAGAGGGGGGUAGAAUUCCAGGUGUAGCGGUGAAAUGCGUAGAGAUCUGGAGGAAUACCGGUGGCGAAGGCGGCCCCCUGGACGAAGACUGACGCUCAGGUGCGAAAGCGUGGGGAGCAAACAGGAUUAGAUACCCUGGUAGUCCACGCCGUAAACGAUGUCUAUUUGGAGGUUGUGCCCUUGAGGCGUGGCUUCCGGAGCUAACGCGUUAAAUAGACCGCCUGGGGAGUACGGCCGCAAGGUUAAAACUCAAAUGAAUUGACGGGGGCCCGCACAAGCGGUGGAGCAUGUGGUUUAAUUCGAUGCAACGCGAAGAACCUUACCUGGUCUUGACAUCCACAGAAGUUUUCAGAGAUGAGAACGUGCCUUCGGGAACUGUGAGACAGGUGCUGCAUGGCUGUCGUCAGCUCGUGUUGUGAAAUGUUGGGUUAAGUCCCGCAACGAGCGCAACCCUUAUCCUUUGUUGCCAGCGGUCCGGCCGGGAACUCAAAGGAGACUGCCAGUGAUAAACUGGAGGAAGGUGGGGAUGACGUCAAGUCAUCAUGGCCCUUACGACCAGGGCUACACACGUGCUACAAUGGCAUAUACAAAGAGAAGCGACCUCGCGAGAGCAAGCGGACCUCAUAAAGUAUGUCGUAGUCCGGAUUGGAGUCUGCAACUCGACUCCAUGAAGUCGGAAUCGCUAGUAAUCGUGGAUCAGAAUGCCACGGUGAAUACGUUCCCGGGCCUUGUACACACCGCCCGUCACACCAUGGGAGUGGGUUGCAAAAGAAGUAGGUAGCUUAACCUUCGGGAGGGCGCUUACCACUUUGUGAUUCAUGACUGGGGUGAAGUCGUAACAAGGUAACCGUAGGGGAACCUGCGGUUGGAUCACCUCCUUACCUUAAAGAA